This 254-nucleotide ribosomal RNA is filed under the name uncultured bacterium. RNAcentral's name for it is "partial 16S ribosomal RNA". It matches the Rfam family "Bacterial small subunit ribosomal RNA", at positions 524 to 776 of the family's 1533-position model. The record is from RNAcentral.
UACGUAGGGGCCAAGCGUUGUCCGGAUUUAUUGGGCGUAAAGAGCUCGUAGGCGGUUCGGCAAGUCAGCUGUGAAAUCUCCACGCUCAACGUGGAGGGGUCAGCUGAUACUGCUGUGACUUGAGUCCGGUAGGGGAGUGUGGAAUUCCCGGUGUAGCGGUGAAAUGCGCAGAUAUCGGGAGGAACACCAGUGGCGAAGGCGGCAUCCUGGACCAAUUCUGACGCUGAGGAGCGAAAGCCAGGGGAGCAAACGGG